CAUCCUGUCUUCACGAGCUUCCUCUAGAAGAUGUGCGCAGAGUCUUUCUAAGUCACACUCAUAAAAAAUUCAAAGAAAAGGAAUCAUACUUUCAUUGAUAAUGAAAUCAAUAGAGAGAAUGAUACUGAGCUCUUACAUUCGAUUAGAUGCGAUAAUCUUAUCCUCUAAUUGCUUGUAAGAGCUGAUGACCAAUGGAUCAUCCUCUAUUGAUCUCUUCAUCAAUGAAAGGUAUGAUUCCCUUUCUUUGAAAUCACUUUUGAAUGUGACUAAGAAAGCCUCUACGUACAUCUUCUCCGCGGAAGCUCAUGAAAACAAGGUAG
Brassica rapa (field mustard) is the source of this 320-nucleotide non-coding RNA. The record is from RefSeq and is marked provisional. Lineage: Eukaryota; Viridiplantae; Streptophyta; Magnoliopsida; Brassicales; Brassicaceae.